RNAcentral lists this transfer-messenger RNA (397 nucleotides) under Malaciobacter mytili. RNAcentral describes it as "Standard tmRNA". It matches the Rfam family "transfer-messenger RNA". From Rfam's summary of the family: Bacterial tmRNA, also known as 10Sa RNA or SsrA, is named for its dual tRNA and mRNA-like properties. Its role is to liberate the mRNA from a stalled ribosome. Lineage: Bacteria; Pseudomonadati; Campylobacterota; Epsilonproteobacteria; Campylobacterales; Arcobacteraceae. The record is from RNAcentral.
GGGGAUGAUUUGGCUUCGAUUAGAGCAGUGAGGAUUAGUUGCAUGUCGGCCUGAGCAUGCCGUUACGCGGCUCAUUUUUUUUAGACGCAAACAAUACUAAUUACGCUCCAGCUUACGCAAAAGCUGCGUAAGUUUAUCUUAUAAUUUGUCUCGCCUAAGGGCUUGAGACUUGGAGGCUCGCACUACUGAUUCUAUCUAAGUAGAUUUUCGCGGGUUCACCCAGAUAGAUUAUCUUUAAAGAGUUGAUUUGGCUUUAAGGAGAAAUUUUCAAAUCUUAGCUUUUUGGUUGCCUUGCGGAUUGAGUUGCUAAAAAGUGAAAUUCUUCAAUCCUUCUAAGCAUGUAGACGCUAAUAGUAGCUGUUUUAAGACUCCGGUUCAAUCCCGGACAUCUCCACCA